UCAUCGGUGGUUCAGUGGUAGAAUGCUCGCCUGCCACGUGGGCGGUCCGGGUUUGAUUCCCGGCCAAUGCA
This 71-nucleotide transfer RNA is filed under the name Heliconius melpomene (postman butterfly). Its description in RNAcentral is "tRNA HMEL015857". It matches the Rfam family "tRNA". From Rfam's summary of the family: Transfer RNA (tRNA) molecules are approximately 80 nucleotides in length. The record is from RNAcentral. Lineage: Eukaryota; Metazoa; Arthropoda; Insecta; Lepidoptera; Nymphalidae.